This 211-nucleotide long non-coding RNA is filed under the name Mytilus galloprovincialis (Mediterranean mussel). Lineage: Eukaryota; Metazoa; Mollusca; Bivalvia; Mytilida; Mytilidae. The record is from RNAcentral.
AGUUACCACACGACCAAUUGUGAAGUUAUAUCCAUUAGAACUAUAGUAACUGUUAUAGGAUUUUUGUGAAGGACAGUUAACGUAAAGUGAAAUAACAAAAAAAUGUUUCAAUGUGAUCCAUUUAUAGAACUUUAAAGUUUUGAUUAUUUAUCAUUUAAAAUAAUUUUAUUUCUUAUUCAUUUUGAGGCCCCCAGAAUGUCGUGAAUAUAGG